UGUGAGGAGCUGCAGCCGCCAUGAGGCCUCCCCUCAGCUCCUCUGCUCUGGGAUGAGCAAACCCAGGGGCCUCAGCUGCUCCUCAUAUGACUUCCCCUUCAGACCCUUCACCAUCUGUGUUGGCCUGGACUUCGCUGCCCUCAGGACUAGGAAGCCGUAGUGUCUCAGGUGGUUUGCAAGAGCUGGGGCCAAGCAAGGAGGCAGUGGGAGAGUAUGUCCAGAAGGGGGAAUGGAGUGAAACUGGUGAAAUUAAACUUCUCGGUUUUUCCAGAGGGGCCUAUGUUGUUCACCCCAACCCAAGGAGCCGCCAUGAGUUGGGCCUUAUCCACAGCCAGAAAGCACCAGCCCGGGAGCCAGGCACUGCAGAAAGAAGCCUUAGAAGCAUCUGGAGCAUCUCAGCUCUGAGUGUAGCUCCAAGGUUAUCAGAGCGUGUCAAGAUUGGCGUUUAGUUGUACAAGAGGAAGCAAAGCCUCAGACAAAUCCUUGAGGAGUCCUUGUACCCAGCAGAAACAGCACAAGCACGGCCUUCUUGGCGAGAGUUAAAUAUGAGUCUCCUCUUCUUCAAAUCCUUUUCUGGCGAUGGCUUAGAUUGUGUUGCUGGCUGUCAUAAUGAUGCUCCAGGCUCUUGUAGUGUAGAAGACUGUUGAUAUCCCCGACAAAGGUAGAAGAGAUGUGAGACAGCCCUAUCAAGAACUUCUGAUUUUGAUAAAUUAAUCGUCUUCCUGUAGAGUGACCGAUCACAGGAGACUCCGUGAAGCGUGCUUGCACAUUUUAGAAUGCCCCAAAUUCAUUAGCUAUUCCACUCGAGUUAUGAGUUAGUGAGCCACACGAAGAAAAUGUGUUUGGAAUAACGCUUUGCAGCUCUAGUGUUUUUAAAUAGGCAGCUAACAAUGUACCAUUCCCUCCUAUUCAGUUGUUUGUUUUAUUUUUCAUGUGAAAAGAGAAUGUAAUCAGCUUUCCUAUUAUAGAAAAAGAUGAGGAUAAAGUGCUCAUUGUUAAACCAUGUCCGCUGGCAUCUCCUUAUUUUCACAUAACAAUGGUUAUUUUCUAAAUCUUCUAUUUCCCGUUAACCUGUGUGUGUUUGGUUACUGCUUUUUCUAUCAUGACUUCUCUAAUGUGACAGCAUUUAGCUGUGUAUAUUCUUCUCUUGUUUGGUACUCAGGGAUGGCUUCCUUGCUUGUAAAUUAUUCAAGAAGGUGAGCAGGGCUCUUACCAGGGACCAGAAUGGUCUGUCUCCCUUACAUCUUCUGUGGAAACUGUCUAUUGUGAGAAGUUUACACCAUGGUUCCCUGUGCUCUCAGUGUCAGAAAUGCUAUGAGAACACAUAGAGACACUGCAGCAGGUGAGUCUGGUCUGCGGUGGUCAGUGCUGAACUCAGCCCCUGUGGAGCCUUGCAGAGCCUGGGUACUCCCGCCUCAGCCCUGGCUUGUACCCAGACAUUUUCGUUCCAGUUCCUGUGCCAAGAUAAAGGCAGAAUAAGUCAGACAGAAGAAAAAAAGCGGUGAAUUUUUGAACAGCCUCUUGCCUCUUGGCCAGAAAGGUAAUGCAGCCACGCAGGAUCGUUAAAAGCCCAUUGAGUGAGGAUGUAACCACUCUGAUACUCACAUAGCUACUGCAAAUCCACAGACUGUGAGACUGCAAGAUCUCACAGGAUGAAAAAGAUGUGACAAAAAGAUCAGUAGGCACCAGGGGUGGAAUUAAGACAGAAGAACUGUGUGGAGGCCUCCAAAACCACAGAAAGAAAAUGGACAUGACAGAGCUGUCCCACAAGUUCAGCCAAACACUGCAGCAAAUAUGUAUAUUGAAUAAGGAGAGUUGGCAGGAUUGUGGCAGCUGCCAGAAGCCUUUUCUGUUGGUUCUUUAACCAUGACUUGAUUGUCAAUGCAUCCAAAGGCCUCAAGAAAGCUUACGACCACAAGCUGCAAAAGGACUCCAUUGCUGUAUGGAGAAUGAUAAAGACGUUCUCCAAAAAUCAAAUUCAGAAGAAUACUGGAUUCAAAGUCAAGAGGCUUCAAAUAAAUGAAGGCUGCAUGUUCAAUAGUAUAAUAUUCACUUUGGCUACUCUCCCUGGGACAACUUUCAGCUUUCAGACUUCAUUUGCAGAAGUGCAACUUUCAACCCAAGUCUAAGUGCAAGUAAAGCAUUGUCAAGGGAAUAUUCUAGAUUCUCCUACAGGCUCAGCCUGAGCAACUAGUAUCAGUAAAUGCAACUGGAAGAAGCCUGCUAAGUCAGUAAAUCCAGACUUUGGCAGUCACAGCAACUACAGGAUCCACACCUCUUUUGUCCUUUGCCACAAAACAUUGCAUUAAUCCAUGACAAACUUAAACUCUUUGGUGUAAAAAUAAAACCUGCAAGAGCCAAUUUAGAGCACUACGAAAAGGGAGGAGGAGAGAGGGAAUGAAAGGGCCCUAGGACCAUGCCAGAGUAAGGAAUCUGUCAGGGGAAAAAAAAAAAAAAACAUGAUCUUCUAAGGUGGAUUGCACUCUGUGUUGCCUUUGGAAGCAAAAACCUCACUGGUUCCUCGUUUGAUUCUAAUUUUCAAGGCCAGGUUGGAUGGAGCCCUGGGCAGCCCAAGCUGGUGGGGGGCAGCCUUGCACAUGGCAGGGGGUUGGGGCUGGGUAGCUUUGAGGUCCCUUCAAACCUAAACCAUUCUGUCAUUUUACGAUUCUAUGAUUCUAAACGUGUGAUCAUUUCAGUUCUUAGUCUGAGGGCCACAAAGACCACCCUGUAGAGAGGCUGCUGGGUUCUGCACUGAGAACCUUUGCCUUCUGUCCACCUCAUCCUCUCCUGCUGGAGCCAGACUCUGACCUCCAGAAAGAGGGGAAACAUUGAACGUGGCCUCUUGUCCAAACCUUUCCUAUCCCUAGGAAUUAAUUAAUCUUUAUUCCAACCUGGCAGGAGUCACAUUCAAAGGAGCAUUUCGCCAGGGAAUCUCUUCCUGAGGAUCUAGUUGUGUUUUUGUGAUUAAUUCUGAUUUGUAAGUUUAAGUCUUAAGCCAUUUCUGACCAUUUCAUUUUGAACCACCAAAGCUUUGGGAAGUCAUACGUGCUACGAAGGGACAUGGUAGCUAGCAGGCCUAUUGGCUGCAAAUUGUCUUAUUCAGGGAAAAACAGUUUACAUCAGGGCAACUUUGAAGGUUUUUCAGCUCUUGCUACUAUUUUCCUAAAUAAUGUCAUGUUCUUCUAUUUUUGAGUUGACAAACACUCUCACAACAAAGAUUUUGAUGUCACAAACAGAAAAUAAUGAUUCUAUGAAAGAGAUGAAGCAGGAGCAGAUUGUCUCCUUAAAAUUAAUACAAUAAUGAUAAUAAUAAUAAUAUAUUUUCCAGUAAACACCUCUGAUAACAAAAAGUUUGAAGAAAAGUACAGAAGGGAAGUGAUACACAAGUCCCAGAACUGUCACUGAGCACACAGUUCGUUUUAAAGCCUCUGAACAAGACAUAAGUGGGUCUUUUACCCUGCAGCUAUCACUGCCCCCAAAAAAACUCCAAGCCAAGCCAAUGAAUGCUCCUCUUUCUUCUGUGGAAUUCUGACCAGAACAUGGUCUUAAAUACUACAUCAAUGCAAUUCCCACAGAAGACAAGUUCAAGUUCUGACCCUUCACUUUAUUUUUAAACACUUUUUUUUUUUUUUUUUUUUUUGCAUUUGAACAUGUAAGAAGCAACAGUUUAAAGGGAAAGAAAAGUUCAGAUGCUCGAUGAAAUGGCAGCAGGGAAUCAAUUGCUUCUGCUUCAUCUUGAUGCAUUUAAUGUCCUUACUGUAUCGGUGAGACCACCGCAGUUUGCUUUCAGAGAGCGUAUUAGACCAGGUAUUUCAUUAGUGUGAAUGUCUCAGAAAAUGGCAGAAUUGAAAGAAAAGGGGAAAGAACGCAAACUAUGAAAUUAGGACAGAUUUAUGACCUGCCUCUAGUCAAGAGAAUACAUAAGAUAAAUCAGGGAGAAUAGAAAGAUGCUAUUUGCAGUUCUAAAGGUGGGCAAAAGAAGACGUUCAUUGAAGUGCCUUGAUAGAAAAGGAGACUUUGAGAAGAAAAGCUUCUUAAACAUCAAAAGAUAAAGGGCACAAAUCAGGCUUAGUGAGCAAGUCUUUGAAAUGGUACCAACCUCCAAGUCAGCAAAAUAUGCAUAGAUGUAAGUAUAACAGCACAAUGUUUGCUCAUACUUCUGAAAAGUUACUUUCACAAAUGAGACUUCACGCCACUGUUAACAAUUUCUUUUUUCAGUGUGUGUUUCUAAAAAUGAACCAGUAAAGCAGAAAAUCCUAAUGCUGAGAGAAAGCAAGAGGACUUCGCCUCAACUGCCUACUAAGAAUCCAAGGACGAAGGUACCUGCUUGCUUACAUAUACUGGUGCACA
This is a long non-coding RNA of Numida meleagris (helmeted guineafowl), 4350 nucleotides long. RefSeq lists it as uncharacterized. The record is from RefSeq and is a predicted model, not a curated record. The transcript has 4 exons. Lineage: Eukaryota; Metazoa; Chordata; Aves; Galliformes; Numididae.